ACGCACGCUGGCGGCGUGCCUAAUCCCUGCCAGUAGAACGCUGAAGGCGGAGCUUGCUUCUCUGGAUGAGUUGCAACGGGGUGGUAACCCGGUGGUUAACCGCCCUGUAGCUGGGGGAAAAUAUUUGGAAACAUUAGUAAAUCCCCCUAAAUAUAAGAUUCCCCUUGAAAUUUCUUUAAAAGUUGCAUUUCCUUACCACCCAGAUGAACCUCCGUUGUAUUAGCUAGUUGGUGAGGUAACGCCUCACCAAGGCAACGAUACAUAGCCGACCUGAGAGGGUGAUCGGCCACACUGGGACUGAGACACGGCCCAGACUCCUACGGGAGGCAGCAGUAGGGAAUCUUCGGCAAUGGACGGAAGUCUGACCGAGCAACGCCGCGUGAGUGAAGAAGGUUUUCGGAUCGUAAAGCUCUGUUGUAAGAGAAGAACGAGUGUGAGAGUGGAAAGUUCACACUGUGACGGUAGCUUACCAGAAAGGGACGGCUAACUACGUG
Molecule: ribosomal RNA, 494 nt
Filed under: uncultured bacterium
Lineage: Bacteria
Description: partial 16S ribosomal RNA
Rfam family: Bacterial small subunit ribosomal RNA
Source: RNAcentral